Non-coding RNA from Kogia breviceps (pygmy sperm whale), 1397 nucleotides. NCBI's taxonomy places the organism in Eukaryota, Metazoa, Chordata, Mammalia, Artiodactyla, Physeteridae. The record is from RefSeq and is a predicted model, not a curated record.
UGAAAGACAAUUUAUUUUUAGUAAAUAUGAUAGUCCCCCACAUGGGAAGCUACAACCAUGCCAAAAAUGUCCUAAGAGGAGAUAAAAUCCUAUUUAUAGAGCUAUCAGUUGCUCCUUGCUUAGGUUGUAACAUAGUUUCCACUUUAAGCCUGAUAUGACCUCCCCUGACUUCUCUGGUCUCUAAUGGUCUUUUCAUCCUGAAGUUUCUCACAUUUAUCUUUAUCUCCACAGGGUACUUAAAUUGAGCUACUAUGGAGUGGGGGGAAGGGGGAAGGAAAGAAACUCCUUCCCCUAAACCUUCUCCUGCCUGAGAGUUUUAGCAGUGGCAACACCCAAACCUCAUCUCAGCCCCGCCCUGCCCUGCUGCAUACCUGGAUGAAACUUAAAUUUCAAGAUUGUCUGAGGAAGGAAUUAUAGGAUGAAGAAAGUCAUCAAAAACACACAAAAGCAUCACGAACAAAGAUUUGUCACUCCCAGAGACUAUCCCAUGUAUAAACUAUAUUCUUGAGUUCAACAAUGCAGAAAACUUUUUGUAAGGAAAAAUAAAAAGUACAUUCCUACAAGCAAGUAUUGUCAAAAACUUUAACAGCAAAGACAGAUAUAACAGGUACACAGAGAUGUGCCAGAGGAAACGGACUUCCUCCUUCACCUGCUUAGCAAAAGUAGUCCUCCUUUCUUCCCCAUCUCUCACCUGAGGCUACCUGGAACUCUUCAGCACUCAGACACGUACCACCUCUCUGAAAGUGGACUAUACUUAACGACAAAGAGAAUCACCUGAACUUGUGCUCAAAGAAGCAUGUGCAAAGAUUUUUCAAUGCAGUGCUGUUUGCAACACUGAAAAACUGAAAAGCACCUCAAUAAUAGUGAAAUACUGUUAUCAACUAUUGUUGAUAUUGUUGACUAUUCAACAUGCUCUGUUAAAAUGCAAGUGUUUUAAAAGUUUCAGGUGUACAGCAAAGUGAUUCAGUUAUACAUAAGUAGCUGAAAUUUAAAGCAGACAUGGAAUUACAAGGCAAGCUAAUGGAACAGAUGGGACAGCAAUCAGAGGUGUUAAACUCCAAAGAGGAAAGGCAGCUAUACUGCUAUAAGCAAGAGUUAUUGACCUAGUAAGACUGAAAGACUUAGAAACUGACUGCCAAGGCACAGAAGCUGCUCAAAAAUAAAAAGAAUAUAUAAGAAAUAAAAUACCAACCAUAAGAAUUUUACUACAGAGAUAGCAAUGAAACCUGUUUAGAAGCUUCUGGUAAGUGAAUGUGUGAAAGAGUAACAGACGGAUCCUUAAGUAACUGGCAAAUACAGCAACUGUGAUGGAUCAUGCACGUACAACGGACACUGAAGAAGUGAAGAAAAAUAUUACCUGACAUUUGUAUUCUUCACUAGCUGCUUAGAAGCUCCCA